AUUUAAGAUGAUAGCUGUCAAAGUUUUCAAGAGGCAGAACGAUUUUCCUGACUUUCAUGUGUAUCAGGCUCUUGGGGAGUGGAGAGAAAGCUGUGAAUACAGCCAGCUCACACCGCACUACAAAACGAAUGCACAGGCUGGAGACCAACAGCACAGAG
This is a long non-coding RNA of Hemiscyllium ocellatum (epaulette shark), 158 nucleotides long. RefSeq lists it as uncharacterized. The transcript is spliced from 3 exons. NCBI's taxonomy places the organism in Eukaryota, Metazoa, Chordata, Chondrichthyes, Orectolobiformes, Hemiscylliidae. The record is from RefSeq and is a predicted model, not a curated record.